Non-coding RNA from Podarcis lilfordi (Lilford's wall lizard), 71 nucleotides. NCBI's taxonomy places the organism in Eukaryota, Metazoa, Chordata, Lepidosauria, Squamata, Lacertidae. The record is from the annotation of a GenBank genome assembly.
GCACAGCUCAGUCUGUAGAGCGUGAGACUCUUUUAGUCUCAGGGACGUGGGUUUGAGCCCUGCGUUGGGCA